This 72-nucleotide transfer RNA is filed under the name Ictidomys tridecemlineatus (thirteen-lined ground squirrel). RNAcentral describes it as "Spermophilus tridecemlineatus (thirteen-lined ground squirrel) tRNA". It matches the Rfam family "tRNA". From Rfam's summary of the family: Transfer RNA (tRNA) molecules are approximately 80 nucleotides in length. Their secondary structure includes four short double-helical elements and three loops (D, anti-codon, and T loops). Further hydrogen bonds mediate the characteristic L-shaped molecular structure. tRNAs have two regions of fundamental functional importance: the anti-codon, which is responsible for specific mRNA codon recognition, and the 3' end, to which the tRNAs corresponding amino acid is attached (by aminoacyl-tRNA synthetases). tRNAs cope with the degeneracy of the genetic code in two manners: having more than one tRNA (with a specific anti-codon) for a particular amino acid; and 'wobble' base-pairing, i.e. permitting non-standard base-pairing at the 3rd anti-codon position. Lineage: Eukaryota; Metazoa; Chordata; Mammalia; Rodentia; Sciuridae. RNAcentral also lists the same sequence under 1 other name. The record is from Rfam by way of RNAcentral.
UGGGUUGUGGCUCAGUGGUAGAGUGCUUGCCUAGCAUGCAUGAGGCACUGGGUUCAAUCCUCAGCACCACAU